CCACCACCUGGGAUCCGGGCAGGUCAGCGUCCCCUGCGCCCGGAGUGCCGAGUCGCUGAAGAAAAUUACUUUCCAAGAAGAAAUGUCUUAUUAUAUAACAAAGGAUGUAUUCGUCCUCUCCACUUGCCAGUCAAACGGAAACACAACGUGAAUUCUGUUCAGCUAUGUUCUUUGGGGAUUUUGUUGUCAGUAAAGAGAAGAGCAUGCAUCCACUUGGUCCUUUGGGAUGGCAAGAGCCAAGAAGUCCAGAGAUGAACAUGACAGCCCCCCUUCUUCCACCAGAACAACUUUAAAUCUAUUUGUAAAAUAUAAUGUACCAUUUUUUUCAAAUGUGGACUCCACCGUGGGCUUGAAGUAUCAGUGAUGACUCUACCAGGGCUCCAUUAGUCAUCAUCUUGUGUCCACAGAGCAGAACAGGCAAGAAGAAGUUGAAGUCACCAAUUGCUUCAAGAAACAUGGUGCUCAUAUUAAACAUGCUUACUGUAUGUUUUAGAGAUACAGAAAGCAGGUAGAUCAUAGGAUUUGGGGGUGGUGCCAAGCUUUUUCAAAAUAUAGUACGUCGUCACUUUAAGUUCUUCCAGGGAACAAAAAGCCAAGUGAACAAGAAGGUGGGCGUUUUGCUCUUUUCCUUCCCUGUCAUAUUGCAAGUUCUUAUCAUGUAUUUUAUUUUGCUCAUUUUCCCCUAAAAGCUUGUUUAAUUUCAGCAUCUCAAUGGUCAUUUUUAUUUCAGAGAUGCAUCCUCUGCUUCAACAAUGUAUUUGAAAAUGCUUUUGACCUGCAGGCAGUAUGAAAUGCAUUCUAAAUUAUCGUCCUAGCAGUAACGUGAUGAGGUGAAUGGUGAUGUUGUAUAGAAUUAUGACAUUUUACAGAGAGUUCUCAGAAAUUCUUGUCUCACUCUAGAAGUGACAAUAAAUAUCUGUGAAUUCUGAAUAAUGUGGCAGAACA
Camelus dromedarius (Arabian camel) is the source of this 945-nucleotide long non-coding RNA. RefSeq lists it as uncharacterized. The record is from RefSeq and is a predicted model, not a curated record. NCBI's taxonomy places the organism in Eukaryota, Metazoa, Chordata, Mammalia, Artiodactyla, Camelidae. The transcript is spliced from 2 exons.